RNAcentral lists this ribosomal RNA (589 nucleotides) under uncultured bacterium. RNAcentral's name for it is "bacterial SSU rRNA". It matches the Rfam family "Bacterial small subunit ribosomal RNA", at positions 338 to 916 of the family's 1533-position model. The record is from RNAcentral.
CCUACGGGAGGCAGCAGUAGGGAAUCUUCCGCAAUGGACGAAAGUCUGACGGAGCAACGCCGCGUGAACGAUGAAGGCCUUCGGGUCGUAAAGUUCUGUUGUUAGGGAAGAACAAGUGCUAGUUGAAUAAGCUGGCACCUUGACGGUACCUAACCAGAAAGCCACGGCUAACUACGUGCCAGCAGCCGCGGUAAUACGUAGGUGGCAAGCGUUGUCCGGAAUUAUUGGGCGUAAAGCGCGCGCAGGCGGUUUCUUAAGUCUGAUGUGAAAGCCCCCGGCUCAACCGGGGAGGGUCAUUGGAAACUGGGAAACUUGAGUGCAGAAGAGGAAAGUGGAAUUCCAAGUGUAGCGGUGAAAUGCGUAGAGAUUUGGAGGAACACCAGUGGCGAAGGCAACUUUCUGGUCUGUAACUGACGCUGAGGCGCGAAAGCGUGGGGAGCAAACAGGAUUAGAUACCCUGGUAGUCCACGCUGUAAACGAUGAGUGCUAAGUGUUAGAGGGUUUCCGCCCUUUUAGUGCUGAAGUUAACGCAUUAAGCACUCCGCCUGGGGAUACGGUCGCAAGACUGAAACUCAAAAUGAAUUGACGG